UACGAAGGGGGCUAGCGUUGCUCGGAAUCACUGGGCGUAAAGGGUGUGUAGGCGGGUCUUUAAGUCAGGGGUGAAAUCCUGGAGCUCAACUCCAGAACUGCCUUUGAUACUGAAGAUCUUGAGUUCGGGAGAGGUGAGUGGAACUGCGAGUGUAGAGGUGAAAUUCGUAGAUAUCGGGAGGAACACCAGUGGCGAAGGCGGCGACCUGGACGGACACUGACGCUGAGACGCGAAAGCGUGGGGAGCAAACAGG
This 253-nucleotide ribosomal RNA is filed under the name uncultured prokaryote. RNAcentral describes it as "partial 16S ribosomal RNA". It matches the Rfam family "Bacterial small subunit ribosomal RNA", at positions 524 to 776 of the family's 1533-position model. The record is from RNAcentral.